RNAcentral lists this long non-coding RNA (540 nucleotides) under Pan troglodytes (chimpanzee). Its description in RNAcentral is "long non-coding RNA NONPTRT013970". Lineage: Eukaryota; Metazoa; Chordata; Mammalia; Primates; Hominidae. The record is from RNAcentral.
UAAUGAAAGUAAAUAAAGGUAGUCUAUGGGUUUUGAGUAUGCACUUACUUGGCCAGAAUACCCAGGUUGAAAUCAUGUCUCUUAUGGGCUAUCUAACUUGGGGUACACUAGUUGCCUUGUUGUGCAGUGCUUGUGAUUAUUAAUAGCAAAACUGCACCACCACCACCAUCACCACCACCACCACCACCACCAACACCACUAACACUAUCAUAGUCAUCAUCCUCAUGAUUAUUUGCCUUUCAUGCGAUAUAUUUAAUUUUUACUCAAUUUUGAUAAUUGAGCAGGGCUCUAAUUGACUUAAAGGGGUGUGUAGCAUCAUUAAUGACCAAAGUGCAGCAUUUAAAAAUUGGAAUUCUUAUAGUUAACAGUUUUUACAUUAAUAUGAAGGAAAAUUUUUCGAUUUAAAUAAUCAUUAAAAUAUAGAUAUAGGACUGGUUUGUUUUCUACAAGAAGAAAUCUAGAUAUUUAUUUUAAUUCUAAAAAUUGAGUGAUAUACCCUGAAACUUGAAAAAGAAAUCAUGUUUCUUGCUAGAAAAUCAC